GAAGAACUUCAGCAACAACUUGAGGAGGCUCAGAACAAACUAGCGGACAGUGACAAGAGAAAAGG
Long non-coding RNA from Myotis myotis, 65 nucleotides. RefSeq lists it as uncharacterized. The record is from RefSeq and is a predicted model, not a curated record. The transcript has 3 exons. NCBI's taxonomy places the organism in Eukaryota, Metazoa, Chordata, Mammalia, Chiroptera, Vespertilionidae.